GACGAACGCUGGCGGCGUGCUUAACACAUGCAAGUCGUACGGUAAGGCCCUUUCGGGGGUACACGAGUGGCGAACGGGUGAGUAACACGUGAGUAACCUGCCCACAACUUUGGGAUAACGCUAGGAAACUGGUGCUAAUACUGGAUAUGUGCCCCUGCUGCAUGGUUGGGGUUGGAAAGCUCCGGCGGUUGUGGAUGGACUCGCGGCCUAUCAGCUUGUUGGUGGGGUAGUGGCCUACCAAGGCGGCGACGGGUAGCCGGCCUGAGAGGGUGACCGGCCACAUUGGGACUGAGAUACGGCCCAGACUCCUACGGGAGGCAGCAGUGGGGAAUAUUGCACAAUGGGCGCAAGCCUGAUGCAGCAACGCCGCGUGCAGGAUGACGGCCUUCGGGUUGUAAACCGCUUUCAGCAGGGACGAAGCUUUUUGUGACGGUACCUGCAGAAGAAGCACCGGCUAACUACGUG
This 465-nucleotide ribosomal RNA is filed under the name uncultured bacterium. RNAcentral's name for it is "partial 16S ribosomal RNA". It matches the Rfam family "Bacterial small subunit ribosomal RNA", at positions 28 to 507 of the family's 1533-position model. The record is from RNAcentral.